GCGCCCAUAGCUCAGCUGGACAGAGCAACGGACUACGAAUCCGUGUGUCGGGAGUUCGAAUCUCUCUGGGCGCG
Molecule: non-coding RNA, 74 nt
Organism: Desulfobacca sp. 4484_104
Lineage: Bacteria; Pseudomonadati; Thermodesulfobacteriota; Desulfobaccia; Desulfobaccales; Desulfobaccaceae
Source: Rfam